This 497-nucleotide ribosomal RNA is filed under the name uncultured bacterium. RNAcentral's name for it is "partial 16S ribosomal RNA". It matches the Rfam family "Bacterial small subunit ribosomal RNA", at positions 28 to 507 of the family's 1533-position model. The record is from RNAcentral.
GAUGAACGCUGGCGGCGUGCCUAAUACAUGCAAGUCGAGCGAACAGACGAGGAGCUUGCUCCUCUGACGUUAGCGGCGGACGGGUGAGUAACACGUGGAUAACCUACCUAUAAGACUGGGAUAACUUCGGGAAACCGGAGCUAAUACCGGAUAAUAUAUUGAACCGCAUGGUUCAAUAGUGAAAGACGGUUUUGCUGUCACUUAUAGAUGGAUCCGCGCCGCAUUAGCUAGUUGGUAAGGUAACGGCUUACCAAGGCAACGAGGCGUAGCCGACCUGAGAGGGUGGUCGGCCACACUGGAACUGAGACACGGUCCAGACUCCUACGGGAGGCAGCAGUAGGGAAUCUUCCGCAAUGGGCGAAAGCCUGACGGAGCAACGCCGCGUGAGUGAUGAAGGUCUUCGGAUCGUAAAACUCUGUUAUUAGGGAAGAACAAAUGUGUAAGUAACUAUGCACGUCUUGACGGUACCUAAUCAGAAAGCCACGGCUAACUACGUG